This 440-nucleotide ribosomal RNA is filed under the name uncultured bacterium. Its description in RNAcentral is "partial 16S ribosomal RNA". It matches the Rfam family "Bacterial small subunit ribosomal RNA", at positions 338 to 795 of the family's 1533-position model. The record is from RNAcentral.
CCUACGGGGUGCAGCAGUGAGGAAUAUUGGUCAAUGGACGCAAGUCUGAACCAGCCAUGCCGCGUGCAGGAAGAAGUAUUUCGGUAUGUAAACUUCUAUCAGCAGGGAAGAAAAUGACGGUACCUGACUAAGAAGCCCCGGCUAACUACGUGCCAGCAGCCGCGGUAAUACGUAGGGGGCAAGCGUUAUCCGGAUUUACUGGGUGUAAAGGGAGCGUAGGCGGCGAUGCAAGUCAGAAGUGAAAGCCCGGGGCUCAACUCCGGGACUGCUUUUGAAACUGUGUUGCUAGAUUGCAGGAGAGGUAAGUGGAAUUCCUAGUGUAGCGGUGAAAUGCGUAGAUAUUAGGAGGAACACCAGUGGCGAAGGCGGCUUACUGGACUGUAAAUGACGCUGAGGCUCGAAAGCGUGGGGAGCAAACAGGAUUAGAUACCCUAGUAGUC